Molecule: non-coding RNA, 236 nt
Filed under: Peptococcaceae bacterium CEB3
Lineage: Bacteria; Bacillati; Bacillota; Clostridia; Eubacteriales; Peptococcaceae
Description: Desulfitobacterium sp. enrichment culture clone CEB3 Bacterial small subunit ribosomal RNA
Rfam family: Bacterial small subunit ribosomal RNA
Source: Rfam by way of RNAcentral
UUUACGGAGAGUUUGAUCCUGGCUCAGGACGAACGCUGGCGGCGUGCCUAACACAUGCAAGUCGAACGGAGAUAUUUUGAAGUUUACUUUAGGAUAUCUUAGUGGCGGACGGGUGAGUAACGCGUGGGUAACCUACCCAUAAGGCCGGGACAACUCCUGGAAACGGGGGCUAAUACCGGAUAAUCUUUCCGAGGGACAUCUCUUGGGAAGGAAAGGCGGCCUCUGAAGAUGCUGCC